RNAcentral lists this unclassified non-coding RNA (21 nucleotides) under Mus musculus (house mouse). RNAcentral describes it as "oocyte_clustered_small_RNA13161". The record is from RNAcentral. Lineage: Eukaryota; Metazoa; Chordata; Mammalia; Rodentia; Muridae.
UGAUCACCUGCCUUGUUCCAA